RNAcentral lists this long non-coding RNA (244 nucleotides) under Homo sapiens (human). RNAcentral describes it as "HSALNT0086134". Lineage: Eukaryota; Metazoa; Chordata; Mammalia; Primates; Hominidae. The record is from RNAcentral.
UGCCCCAUGGAAUGAUUGAGACUGGCCGGGAGACAUCAAGAGGUAUUAAUGUGUAUUUUGCAAGGAAGGUGCAGGAGCUGGGGCCUUACCUGCAGUUGCUGAUGGAUUUCUUAGUGAGAAAAAUGGUGACUACACAGCAAGAACAGCAGCAAAAGGAAAGGCACCAAGUGUAAAGGAAGAAUAUUUGAAGCAGAACAGAAAUAAUUUCUGAGCAAGAAGGGCUAUGUGAUGAUGCUUCAUUCAG